GUCUGUAUGAAGUUAUAUGGAGUCUGACCUGCCCGUUGAAGAAAUUUGAAAGGCCGCGGUAUAUUAACUGUGCAAAGGUAGCAUAAUCAUUAGUCUUUUAAUUGGAGGCUUGUAUGAAGGGUCUGACAAAGGAAAAGCUGUCUUUAUUUUUAUUUUUGAAAUUAACUUUUAAGUGAAAAGGCUUAAAUAAAUUUAAGGGACGAUAAGACCCUAUAAAUCUUUAUAUUAUGAUAGUUAACUUAAAAAUUAUUAAAUUUGUUUAGGUUUUGAGUUAAACAUAUAAUAUUUUGUUGGGGUGACAAGAAUAUAAAAUUAACUGUUCUUUAAUAAAACAGAGUUAUUUGUUAAAAUUAUAGAUCCUUUUUAAAGAUUAAAAGUUUAAGUUACUUUAGGGAUAACAGCGUUAUUUUUCUUGAGAGUUCUUAUCGAAAGAAAAGUUUGCGACCUCGAUGUUGAAUUAAAAUUUCUCUAUGGUGAAGAAGUUAUAGAAGUAAGUCUGUUCGACUUUU
This 509-nucleotide ribosomal RNA is filed under the name Paramunida aff. longior 1 AM-2022b. RNAcentral's name for it is "partial large subunit ribosomal RNA". It matches the Rfam family "Bacterial large subunit ribosomal RNA", at positions 1831 to 2589 of the family's 2925-position model. Lineage: Eukaryota; Metazoa; Arthropoda; Malacostraca; Decapoda; Munididae. The record is from RNAcentral.